This 253-nucleotide ribosomal RNA is filed under the name uncultured bacterium. RNAcentral describes it as "partial 16S ribosomal RNA". It matches the Rfam family "Bacterial small subunit ribosomal RNA", at positions 524 to 776 of the family's 1533-position model. The record is from RNAcentral.
UACGUAGGGGGCAAGCGUUGUCCGGAUUUAUUGGGCGUAAAGAGCGUGUAGGCGGUUAGGUAGGUCCGUUGUGAAAACUCGAGGCUCAACCUCGAGACGCCGAUGGAAACCAUCUGACUAGAGUCCGGAAGAGGAGAGUGGAAUUCCUGGUGUAGCGGUGAAAUGCGCAGAUAUUAGCAGGAACACCGGUGGCGAAGGCGGCUAUCUGGACGACAACUGACGCUGAGGCGCGAAAGCGUGGGGAUCAAACAGG